AAUAAUGUUGUGACAAGUGUUCGAACAAGUGAUGUCGACACCGAUGACUUCCCGAUUAAGAUAGGACUGCAUCAGGGGUCAGCUUUGAGCCCUUAUCUUUUUGCAUUGGUGAUGGAUGAGGUCACAAGGGGUAUACAAGGAGAUAUCCCAUGGUGUAUGCUCUUUGCGGAUGAUGUGGUGCUAGUUGACGAUAGUCGGACGGGGGUAAAUAGGAAGUUAGAGUUAUGGAGGCAAACCUUGGAAUCGAAAGGGUUUAGGCUUAGUAGAACUAAAACCGAGUACAUGAUGUGCGGUUUCAGUACUACUAGCUGUGAGGAGGAGGAGGUUAGCCUUGAUGGCCAGGUGGUACCUCGGAAGGACACCUUUAGGUAUUUGGGGUCAAUGUUGCAGGAGGAUGGGGGUAUUGAUGAAGAUGUGAACCAUCGAAUCAAAGCCGGAUGGAUGAAGUGGCGCCAAGCUUCUGGCAUUCUCUGUGACAAGAGAGUGCCACAAAAGCUAAAAGGCAAGUUCUACAGGACGGCGGUUCGACCCGCAAUGUUGUAUGGCGCGGAGUGUUGGCCGACUAAAAGGCGACAUGUUCAACAGUUAGGUGUGGCGGAGAUGCGUAUGUUGAGAUGGAUGUGUGGCCACACGAGGAAGGAUCGAGUCCGGAAUGAUGAUAUACGAGAUAGAGUUGGGGUAGCACCAAUUGAGGAGAAGCUUGUCCAACAUCGUUUGAGAUGGUUUGGGCAUAUUCAGCGCAGGCCUCCAGAAGCUCCAGUGCAUAGCGGACGGCUA
This 777-nucleotide ribosomal RNA is filed under the name Triticum aestivum (bread wheat). Its description in RNAcentral is "partial small subunit ribosomal RNA". Lineage: Eukaryota; Viridiplantae; Streptophyta; Magnoliopsida; Poales; Poaceae. The record is from RNAcentral.